This is a long non-coding RNA of Marmota monax (woodchuck), 8789 nucleotides long. RefSeq lists it as uncharacterized. The record is from RefSeq and is a predicted model, not a curated record. Lineage: Eukaryota; Metazoa; Chordata; Mammalia; Rodentia; Sciuridae. The transcript has 3 exons.
CCGACCCCGCCGCGGCCCUGGAGUCACGGGCGCGCCUCCGCGUCUCUACCUCCAGGGACUGUCCCGAGAAAGACGGGCGCGCUCCCGGGCUCGGGGAGAUCGCGAUUCCUUCCACGCGGGAGGUCGGGACCGAAAGGAAGGAGGAAGCCGAGACCCGUGUCGCGACGGGAGCCAGCGAUACCCGGCCCUGUGGAUGGGGUAUCUGGUGGGAGGACUUCAUCUUCUUAGCGUCUCCAAAACCUCCCGAGCUGGCCCCAGCUCUUUCGUGCUAGUCACAGCUCGGAUCUGGAAUUCUUGCGCUGGAGGCAGGGUUUUGGGAGGCUCUCGGAUUGAGGAAGAGAGUCCAGCGUCCCCUUUUGGUCCCUUUCCCCUUUUUAAUUGCCCCCAGACAGAAUUCCCUCUAGGUGCCAGAGCCAGCACCCUGGGGAGGAGGAACAGAGGGGAGCACGUUUUCGUGUAAAACGAAAGCCUUUUUAAAAUAAGCACUUCUCCUUAAUUCAAGAUUAUUUUCCCAGGAAGAAGCAUCAGUUCAGAGUGGAUUCAGACUGCGCGGUUUCUGAGUAUAUAUGUAUUUUGGAGGGGGCAAUUCCAACACCCUCUUCAGUUUUUUGAGGGUGGAAAAAAUAAUCUUGGUUAUUGCACCAACUCAUUCUAUACCCUGCGGUAUAGAAUAAAGGCAUCCUUUAACUUGACCACGGAGUUCUCUCUGCUUUCUCUCCCAGAGCCUUUGAACCAGGCGGGUGUGCCCUCUGGAGCCUACCUCAGCUGGACGCGCACAUUUGUAGCUGUACUCUUUUCGGAAGAGGAGGUCAGGGUGCAGGGUUCCAUGGGUUGGAAUCAAGCAAGUACUACUACUCUCCCAGAGUCUUAGCCAAUUAAACCGCUUUAUUGCAGUGUGUGAGAGGCUUCAAUUUCAACCUUGCAUUUAUUUUGGAGAGUCCUUCCCAUCUGCCAGGUCCUGAGCUGGGCGUAGGGGAUCGGGGAGGUAGAUGCUAGGAAGAGUAUUUUGAGACAUCUAACAUAUGAGUACAUCCAACCAGGCGCUGGGGGAAGAAAAUCAGGUGUUCGUGUGGGGGGAGCACCAUUCAGUGCUAGUUUCUCCUGGCAAAACAGCCAUUUUCCACUUGUCUUGUAUUUUUCCCCCAGUGUCUGCAUAUAGAGCCAAAGCAUCGAAUACCUUUAAAAUAAUUUAAACAAGGUUGCGAGUUUUGGAAAUAUCAUGUGUGAAUUUGCUUUGAUUCUUGUAUAAUUGGGGGCUGGGAAGGAAAAAGAUCAACACCAUGUCAUUGUUAGCACACAAGAAUAACUUACAAAAUGUUUUUUUGAAGUCUACUUACAGUAAUUGACUAGAAAACACCUCCCUGUUUUGUUUUUAAAGAGAAGCUGUCAACUGUCAAAUGAAGGAAUGUGGACUCCAGGAGAGAUACACCUGCAAAAAGUGCUGGCAUUCCUAGACUAACCCCACCCAUCCUGUUCUUUAAGAGUAUCUCAUUCAUCUAUCUAUCUGUCUAUCUAUCUAUCUAUCUUUGUAGUGCUGGUGCCUCAUACUUGCUAGGCAAAUAUUCUACCAUUGAGUGCACCCUCCAUCCCAAGGAUACCUUAUUUGGACCCUACUUGAUUUGAGCAGCUGGAUAUUUUUUUCUGAAAGUAAAUCCCAUAAAUGGAAAUCAUACUCAUCAUCAAACGUUUUAAUUUGGAAGUGACCUGGGUUGAGCUACGGAGCAAGAACCCAUCCUGCCAUAAUCACAGCUGAUCUCUUAGAAGCUGAAAACCCUAGAAUGAAGGUCAGGAAGGCAAUAAUUUAAAAUAGAAAAUUCCUAGCUUUAAGAAAAGAAUGAAGGCUCCAAGUGGAGCUGGGAAUUUAUAUUGUACAAAAACCCUUUGAACAAUCAUUUGACAGUAAAUGAAUUUUUUCUGGCUAUGUUUGUUGAUCUAAAUUUCCCAGUCACCCUUUGCAUGUGUGAAUUGUGAGACGGGGUCUAAGCAAAGAUGACUAAUGAAUCUUUUAGGAAUCCAUGCUUUCAAGUUGGUUUUCUGUGUGGGUCAUGGGAGCUGCUGCUCUUUAGAUACUUUAUGGGAUGGUUGUCAAGGAAACCUUGGGUAAAAUUUCGCAGGACUGUCUCUAAAAACAUUAUUCAUAAUUAAAAAAUGAUUCAUAGAAAUCACCAGAAAAAUUAUGGCAUGUUAUGUUCAAACAUGUUUUUAGGCCAUGUGGAAUAAAUAAAAUCAGGGUCUGGUUGGGUAAUACUGCCUCCCAGCCUUCCUCUGACUGUGCCAGGAGGAUCUGAUACAGAUGCACAGAUUUAAGAACAGCCUGGGUAAUAGGAAUCAAAUGACAUGGACAUUUUCUUCAGGUAUUUUUAAAAUCUUGAUGAUGCAAGUUACAAUUUUAUUUCUUCAAAAGCCCCUAAAUAGCACAGUUCAAAAAGUGAUAAGUUUGCACAAAAAGGAAUAUGGAAACCCCCACAUGACAAAAGACAGCACACUCAUUGCCACCCAGACCCACCUUGUUAUCAGCCAGCUGAUUGUGGCAGGUGUUUUGCACAUUAGUGGUGACAUCCCCAGGACCCACUCUCCUGCUACUACGCUUUGCAGGGAAAAGCAGUACAUGGAGGUGGCAAGGUAUUGGCAAUACCAACUCCUUCAGCUGGUGGUUGGUUAUGUGGGUUUAAACCCCUUCCUGGUAGAGAAGCAGGGCAGGGCUUGUAAAGGCUGUUUAGGUCAGCAGCAGCUAAUGCAUUGGCCUCACAGUUUAACUUGCCUUGGGCCCUGGUGGACUGUGACAAUCUAUGUUAGUUGCUAGUGGCUAGUAUGUAUAUAGAGAACCAGCAUUUGAUAGGGCAAUCAACUUAUCAAACAAUCCAAAUCAAAGUGGUUGUACCUGCUCAAAACAAAACAAAAAAUCCCCCCCCCCCGCAUUUAUCUACCUAAAAGAAUAGAGGCCAUCUCCAGCCCCAUGCAUAAAAUGGUCACACAUGUGCCUGACUUAUGACUUGCCAGAUCAUUUUAGUCCUUUUCACAGUCAGCCUGGGCUGGUGUAGUGACUCCCCUGGCGUGUGAAGGUGGCUAACGUGAUGGGUCGCAUGUUCUGGCUCAUUGCUCAUUUCCAUGUGCAAUCGGUGCUGGACUGACUUAGAAGCAGCUUACGCUUCUUGCGGCCAAAGGAAUGCAGUUGUCUGGACUGGAGAGCCCUCGUGUCCUCCUACACACACUGUUAUUCAUUCAGGAGACAUUCAUCAAGUGCCCACAGUGUGCCAAACCCCUGAGCCAGGCAUUUGCAUGAUAAAACUGAGUUUCUGCCACUGAGGAUAUUCUUGGUCCUGACAAUGACUGUGAGAAUCUGGCCUGAUUAUGUGUAUCAAAGGCCUUAGAAAGCUUCACAGCUUUUGAACUAGUAAUUCUAUUUCUGGUUAUGUGUCCAAGGAAAUCAUGUCUAAUACCCCCCCAAAGUCUUUUGCCUGAGUAUUUGUAUAGUAGUUAAGGGUGCAAAACUUGGUGUCAAAUCAAGGUUUGACUUCGAAAGCCCUUUGGUUUUGUUAUCUGUUCAAUGGGGGAUAAUAGCCAUUUCAUAAGGAGAUUGUGAGUUUUAAGUAAAAAAUCAUUGACAAAUAUAAUGAAUAUAAAGGGCCAAGCACACUGCUUGGGAGAAGCAAGGAUUGAAAAACUUUAGCUGUUAUUAUUGGCAUUAUUAUCACAUUAUAACUUGUAAUAUUAAACGGUAGAAUCUUAUUUAUUUGCUUUGACAUGCUGGAGAUGGAACCCAGCGAUCACACAUGCUAGGCAGGUUCUACGCUGAGCUACACCCAAGCCUGGAAUAGUUACAAUGUUAAACUCUGGAAGCAAACUUUCAUAAAUGGGUGGGGGUGAUUAAUUAAAUGUUGAUACAUAUAUUCAACCAAAAAUUAAGCAGCUAAUAAAAAGAUUUUUAAAGUUUCUAACAAGAUGGUGCGAUAAAAACCUUCCUAUAUACAAUUACUCUUCUAAGAAUCCCUUGAAGCUAGGCUUCCUGAUGUGAAUUAUUUGCAGACAAUUGAAUCACUUAUUCAAGAACCAAAGUGUAAGUCACUUUUCUGCUGCUGGAUUUCUGCCAGUAGGCCCAAGAAGUGAACACUUUUUUUUUUUUGUGAUUGUUACGUGUGUGCACACAUGCAUUUUUGGCUGUGUUGACAGAGGUCCCAAUGACACUGCUCUGAAGCCAACAGUCCCAGAGGUGGUUUGCUGAUCCUGAGUCCCAGCUAGCAAGGCUAUUGCUGGAUUGACAAUGACAGUGGCAGCUUCCUAUCCUGCUGUUGUUGGCUAUGGCAGUGUCCACAGCUGCCCUGGCUGGCCAGUCCUGCAUGUGUUAUUCUUCUGGUGAACCAGCCUGGCUGCUCUCCCCAGUCCUCCCAAUAAUUUUGUUAGUGCUAAGGUCUCUCUGUUCAAUCCCUUUCCUCUUGAAAUAGCUCAUGUGAUUCCUAAUAUUGGCAAUUAAAUCCUGAGUGAUAUAAGUUGAAAUCAUACCAGUCCUAUAAGGCUUUAUAUAUUAUACGAAUGUAAUUAAGUAAAACAACAUAACUAUAUGUGGGAAUAUUCCAGAAUGAGGUUCCUUGAGCAUGUUUAGGUAGUAAGACUGGGAGUGGUCUUUCAAUUUACCUUUCCUUGCCUCCAUUUUAAUUUAAAAAAACUUGAAUUUAAAAAAAAUUGGGGGAGAUGCUAGGGAUUGAACCCAUACACAUGCUAAGCAUACCCUCUACCCCCAAACUAUACUCCAAUUUCUUUUUUCUUUUUAAAAAUACCACUUUACGGGCUGGGGUUGUAGCUCAGUGGUAAAAUGCUUGACUUGCAUGCGUGAGGCCCUGGUUCAAUCCUCAACACCACAUUAAUAAAUUAAAAUAAAGAUAUUGUGUCCAUCUACAACUAAAAAAAUUAAAAAGAAAAUACCACUUUACUGAGAUAUAAUCAUGUACUGUACAAUUUACUCAUUUAAAGUGUACAAUCCAAUGGUCUUAGAAUAUUUACAAAUAUGUCCAGUCUCACCGUAGUCAAUUAUGGAACAUUUUCAUCAGCUCACAAAGAAACCCCACACCCCAUGGCUGUUAACCCUUCAUCUGCAUUUCCUCUACUUUCUGUUUCUCUAUAUUCCCACACUCUAGAUUUUCAUAUGAACGGAAUCAUAAAGAAGAGGUCUUUUGUGUGACUGGCUUCUUUCACUUAUAUAAUGUUUUUGAGGUUCAUCCAUGUUGUAGUCUGUAUUACUACUUCAUUCCUUUUCACCGAUGAGUAACAUUCCACUGCACAGGGAGAGCACAUUUUGUUAUCCACUUAUCUAUCGAUGACAUUUGGGUGGUUCCACCUUUUGGCUGUUUCAGAUAACGCUGCUGUAUUGCCCAACUUUUAUUGACCAUGUUCUAAUUUUAUCAGUAUUUUGAAAAUAUUAUAACAAAGAAAAUCUGGUCUAUAUAGUACAUUAGGAGGAAGACAAUAUUGCAGAUUUUGUCCUUGCAUCAUUGGCCAGUAAACUGGGCACACACUGAAACUCCAAGCCAAGCUGCCUUUGGGUCACUGGAGACAGACCCAAGAUGCACAAGGGGACCUGUGCCCCAUCCAAAAGAAGGUGAAGCUUUACCCCUUACAUGACCUUAUGUGACCUUGGUGUCCUUGACUCCCACUUAUUUGGUCUUGUAUGCUGCCUACUCUAUCUGUGACCCCACAACCAGUGACUAGUCUGUACGUGGUGCUCUUGGGCUCCAGGGGAACGACAUGAGAGACUUGUCAACCCAUCUCCACUUCAGGAAGCAGCUCUGAAGCCAGGCAGGAGGACGAUUUUGGCAACAUCAUAGAAGUCACUUGACUUGACUUGUGGGAUUUGCACAUUGAAACUUCCCUUUACUGGCUGCUGGAAAUGUUCUGCAUCUCGACUUGGGACUCGUGUGGACAGUUCACCGGGCAGUACUCGUUAGAGUCUAUAUGUCAUUAUGUUUCACUGUGUGAAAGUUACAGCCCGAUUAAAGGAGGAAAUGGUCACACAUGGUCUUUCUCUGAUCUUCCUUUCAAACUCCCAUUCCAGCCACUUGCUCCUUCCUGACCAUUUCUAAGUGGCUGCAGGCUCCUGUCACACAGCUGGUAAGGGAGAGCUCGGCUGGGACCUUUAUCCAGCAACCUGACUGGGCGCGUGCUGCUUUCACUAGGAGUCCCUCCAGAGCCUAGAAGCUGCGUGAGUGUUGAGACUUGACCUGGGAUCUUGUGGCCAGUGGGGACUAGGAAGGUCUAGGAGGCCCGAGUUCCCAGGUCCAGCGGAUGCUCUUGCCUAUCUUGUGUACCUCCUUGCAUCAGGCACAUCAUAGGUGCCCUUGAGUGAAUGGGACCAGAGUGGAGUCCUCACCAAAGACCAAGCAGGGUGUCCAUGUGUCCAGGGCUGUAAAAACCAGGCAAGAAACUCAGCUUUCAUUUCCCCGCAAGCCAACACCAGCGGAGGCUGGACUGUUGCAAGAGCAUGGAAAAUCCCCACUAGAGACACCAGAACUCGCUGGCAAGACCCGUGAGGCGUUAAUUUUAGCUUUCAAUGACUGAUGAUGCCCUUGUAUAUUUUAAUGGGUCAGGAAGAGCAUGGGUCAAAGCCAAAGAGGUUUCCUUUCCUGUCGAGCACUCGGUGAGCUGCUUGGUUUUUAAAGACUAGUUCUCUGCGUGUUUACUCAGAAUUUCUACUGUUUUGAGUCUAUUCUGAUAAUUGUGAGCCAUUCCCUAAAAAUAGUCGUGGUCUGUCCUAUCGGUCAAGUUGCCCAGAUUUCAUGCGUUAAACAUAUUGUGACUCACGGUGUCCAAUGCUAGAAAGCCAUAACCACAAAAUAAACAAAACCACGUGUCUUCCUCGGCUGAAAGGCGCACGUGUUGAGCACCAGGCCCUUGACUCGGGGAGAUGUGUACCCACAGGCUUUCCCUGUGUCUGCCUGUUUUCUUCCUUGUACCCCUGCAGGGCUUGGGGUUCCAUGCUGAGAACAGAUGCCUCCACUUGGGCUGGAACACGCCCUGGGCUUGCUGGAGACAGACCCAGGAUGUGUAGAGGACCCGUGCCCCUCCUGGGAGAAGGGUGGGGCUUGGCUCCUUCUGUGACCUUGCGUGCCCCGGCACCCUUGAUGCUCUCUGGUUUGGAUUUGUCCACUGCUUAUUGGCACCCUGUUGCUUGUCAUGUCUGGCCUCAGGUGCAUCCCAUCAGUGAAGGACCCUUUUGGACUGUUGCUUGAUGGUGGACUCUCAGUCUCCAGUAGAGCUUAGCACUUUCCUUUCUUUGCCUGCUCUGUGCAGUUUGCAAAACCCUGGAUCAUUUUUUUGCAUUCCUUCCUGGUUAAUUUAGAAAACUUAGUGGAAAAUGGAGAAAGGCAAUCACAGAUCUCACCAGUCCAUACAACUAGAAGGGAAUUGUGAUGGGAAACGGUGACUCCAGCUCCACCAGACAUGGCCCAAUGGGGAUUGAAGGAAAAGAAAAUGGUAAAGAACAUGUGUGAGAUGCACGUCAAGGGCAAACAGAUGGUGAACAGAAGAAUUCACCUCAUAUAGAAACAAAAGCUAGAGAACUGGGGUACAGCAUGUAUGUUGUAAACCUUUGCUGACAUCAUGAAUCUCCUUCAUGAUCACGCAUCAUCUGUCAGUGGCUGCUAACCUCGGGGGUGAGUAGGAGAGAGAGGGAUCUCUCCAGAGUGGUUGGCGAUCUCACCUGCCUCCCGAUGGAGCACACAGCCCUUUUAUUUUUAUCCUUUGUUGUUUCGGUACUGGGGAUUGAACUCAGGGGCACUCAACCACGGAGCCACAUCCCCUGCCCUAUUUUACAUUUUAUUUAGAGACACGGUCUCAUUGAGUUGCUUAGCACCUUACUGUUGCUGAGGCUGGCUAUGAACUCCAGAUCCUCCUGCCCUCAGCCUCCCGAGCUGCUGGGAUUACAGGAGUGUGCCACCACACCCAGCACACCCCUUAUUAAAUAUUUUACCAAAAACAAAGAUGCUGACUUGGAUUCAGUCUCUAACUAGACAUGCUGAUUAAUGUACCAGUUUUCAGGAAAUCCAGGGAUGUAGAAAUAACUGAAACCACACCAGAAUGCUCUUGGAAAAUCAGAAAGUGAAGAACUACAGGAAAGACAACCCAGUUUCUUCAGACUCUUACAGAUGCUCCAGGACCCCACCUUGCAAUCAGCUGCUGGAUUCCUCCUCCUGUCAGCCACCAGACUGAUGUCCUGCGCCUGGCCAGAGGUAGCUGAGUCAAGCCAGGCAUCCCUCCUUCCCCUAAGUCUGCCACCUCAACCCACAUGGAUGGGUGACCCCCAUGGGACGGUGGCCUUGGUAUCUGCACACACAUGGUGCCUGCAUCAGGGAUGGGCGAGUCUCACCACUACCCAGAAGAAGAACAUGCCAUGCUGUUAUUACAACCUAACUGGAUCCUUUACAAUCCAUUGUAUCUCUCAUUCUAGUUAUUUGUUGCCUCAUCACAUUGUCUAGGAUACACACACACACACACACACUUAUUUAUUUAUUUAUUUUUGUAGUGAUGAUUUAACCCAUGGGCCCUUUGCACUUCUAAGUUUUUUUGUUUUGUUUUGGUAUGGCAUGGUGAUUGUAGUUAGUAAUAUUGUAUUAUUUACUUUAAAUAUGUGAUAAGAGUAGCUAUUAAGUGUCCUCCCUCCCACAAAUGAUAAGUAAUUGUGGCAAAGGAGUUAAUUUGAUUAUGGUAAUCAUUUCACAGUGUAUACCUAUAUCAAAUUGUGUUGCAAACUUUUUAUUUUGUCAAUUUUUACCUUAAUAAAGUUGGAGAAGAAAAGAAGA